RNAcentral lists this ribosomal RNA (253 nucleotides) under uncultured bacterium. RNAcentral describes it as "partial 16S ribosomal RNA". It matches the Rfam family "Bacterial small subunit ribosomal RNA", at positions 524 to 776 of the family's 1533-position model. The record is from RNAcentral.
UACGAAGGGGGCUAGCGUUGUUCGGAUUGACUGGGCGUAAAGGGCGCGUAGGCGGGAAAUUAAGUUAGACGUGAAAGGCCUGAGCUUAACUUGGGUUAUGCGUUUGAUACUGGUUUUCUUGAGUACAGGAGAGGUAAGUGGAAUUUCUAGUGUAGAGGUGAAAUUCGUAGAUAUUAGGAAGAACACCUGUGGCGAAGGCGACUUACUGGACUGAUACUGACGCUGAGGCGCGAAAGCGUGGGGAGCAAACAGG